This 483-nucleotide ribosomal RNA is filed under the name uncultured bacterium. RNAcentral describes it as "partial 16S ribosomal RNA". It matches the Rfam family "Bacterial small subunit ribosomal RNA", at positions 29 to 507 of the family's 1533-position model. The record is from RNAcentral.
UUGAACGCUGGCGGCAUGCUUUACACAUGCCAGUCGAACGGCAGCGCGGGCUUCGGCCUGGCGGCGAGUGGCGAACGGGUGAGUAAUACAUCGGAACGUGCCCAGUAGUGGGGGAUAGCUCGGCGAAAGCCGGAUUAAUACCGCAUACGACCUGAGGGUGAAAGCGGGGGAUCUUCGGACCUCGCGCUAUUGGAGCGGCCGAUGGCAGAUUAGCUAGUUGGUGGGGUAAAGGCCUACCAAGGCGACGAUCUGUAGCUGGUCUGAGAGGACGACCAGCCACACUGGGACUGAGACACGGCCCAGACUCCUACGGGAGGCAGCAGUGGGGAAUUUUGGACAAUGGGCGAAAGCCUGAUCCAGCAAUGCCGCGUAUGUGAUGAAGGCCUUCGGGUUGUAAAGCACUUUUGGCGGGAACGAAAAGGACUGUGCCAAUACCACGGUUCGAUGACGGUACCCGCAGAAUAAGCACCGGCUAACUACGUG